UCAGCACGGAGACGGGGCACGCCACGCGGGAGGCAGCCUGCAAGGAGUCACAGGUGAGAACACGAGGCCCUGACCGCCUGGCCCGAAAGCAGCUGUGGGCAGCACUGACCUGAGCACCCACUGUGUGCCGGCCCCUCCUCUAAGCACCCUGCCCGGAGUCCCUCAUGUAAUCUGCACACGUGACCCACGAGGAAGCAGCCACUAUGCGUUACAGACAAGCCUUCGGCAGGACAAUCUGAAGCAGAAAAGAUGUCCACAAACCAGUCCCUGC
Molecule: long non-coding RNA, 271 nt
Organism: Lynx canadensis (Canada lynx)
Lineage: Eukaryota; Metazoa; Chordata; Mammalia; Carnivora; Felidae
Exons: 3
Source: RefSeq, a predicted model, not a curated record